AUUGAACGCUGGCGGCAUGCCUUACACAUGCAAGUCGAACGGCAGCACGGGGGCAACCCUGGUGGCGAGUGGCGAACGGGUGAGUAAUGCAUCGGAACGUGCCCAGUAGUGGGGGAUAACUAGUCGAAAGAUUAGCUAAUACCGCAUACGACCUAUGGGUGAAAGCGGGGGAUUCGCAAGAACCUCGCGCUAUCGGAGCGGCCGAUGUCUGAUUAGCUAGUUGGCGGGGAAAAGCCCACCAAGGCGACGAUCAGUAGCUGGUCUGAGAGGACGACCAGCCACACUGGGACUGAGACACGGCCCAGACUCCUACGGGAGGCAGCAGUGGGGAAUUUUGGACAAUGGGCGCAAGCCUGAUCCAGCCAUGCCGCGUGCGGGAAGAAGGCCU
This 388-nucleotide ribosomal RNA is filed under the name uncultured bacterium. RNAcentral's name for it is "bacterial SSU rRNA". It matches the Rfam family "Bacterial small subunit ribosomal RNA", at positions 29 to 417 of the family's 1533-position model. The record is from RNAcentral.